AGGUCAAGCCGGGCGCGUGAGGGGCCCGGACCUGAGGCCCCAGAGAUGGGCGGUGCCCUGUGGGGGCGCGCCCCGGAAAGCUUCGAGCCGGGCGGGAACCGACCCCACCCCUCUGCACCUCAGAGUUUUAACAUCAACAUAUUUGUGAGAACCAAAUUUGUCUUAUGAGCCAUACUGCCUCAAAAUAUUUCUCCAUCUCAUCAGAUUGUAUUAAAUCUUAACUGGAUUAAACCCUAAAAGUAAAUAUUGUAUAAACUACAAUGUAUUAUAUACUCUGGGCUUCAUGUAUUUGAAAAGUUGUAAACUUCUAUUUCUUCUGUGUUUUGUACUUCUACUCUAGUAGUUUCAUCAAUUUCUGUAAUAAAAGCAUAUCAGUUUUUAUUAUACAAUUAUUUAUUAUAGAACUAUUAUUUACUUAAGUACCAUUGUUCUUUCUCUUAGACUGUGCCAUCAUGAAUUUUGGAGAAUCUGCCAAUUGUGAUAUGAUGGCACUUCAUACACAGUGUAUGCUAGAGAUCUCUUCGUUGUCAUCACUUUCCAGUAAUAUGGGCAGCAGGAACAUGUUCAUCCAUGGGAAUGUCCCUCCUAAAUUUUGGAGACAAAGCCCUCAUUCUUUAUUAAGCCAGAAAUUCUUAAGGCUAGUAUCUCUCAGUAGUAGUUACUUAUGCAGCUUAAGAAAAGUAUUCACUCUUCUUGACUACCAAUGAAUAAAUUAGAUACUGAGAGCUAUUUGUUAGUACUUCCACCAUUUCUUGGGAGUAACUUAAACUAGAAGGUACAUUUAGAAUUUCAGGACAUCAGGUAACAAAAAUUAAGUUACUGCCUCUCUGCCUUUAUAACAAGGGUAUCUUGUCUCCAGUGUCCAGAACAGAACAUGACACAAAGUAUGCACAAAAUGUGUUUGUUGGAUAAAUUAAUGAAUGAAUGGGCAAAUAACUCUUUGUGUCCUAUGUGCAGUUUAUACUGUACUCUCCUCUUGGGAUGGCUUAUUGGAAAGAUCAUGAACACACUUUGGAGACUUGGAGAUCUGAGUUCAAAUCCUCCCUCUGCAGAAUUGAGGUCUCAGGCAAGUUUCUUAACUUUUCUAAGCUUUAAUUUCCUCAUUUGUGCAACGAUGAUUACAACUACUUCAACAGCUUAUUAUGAGAAUUAAAUGUGAUGAAAUAUUAGAUAGUAUCUAAAACAUAGUGAGCGAUUAGCAAGCUAAAAUUCCUUUACCAUAAACAUGAAUAUAUUUGUUAACACUAGCUGCUACAACAAAUAAAUACAAAAAUCUAUCCUGGCACACAGCAAUAGAAGUGUAUCUCUCAUCCAUGUAAAGUUCAGAAUGGCAGGCAAGUCUCCUCUAGGCAUUUAUAAGAAUAAAGUUUCUUCCACGUUAGAGUUCUGAUGCAUUCAAUACAUAAUCACAACAUCAAGCUGGCAGAAAGGGGCAAAACAUGGAGGAUCACUCAAGGAAGGCUUUGUGCACAUCACUUCCAUUCCCAUUCCACUGGCUAGAACACUCCCAAGCCACCAAACUACAAGGCAACCCAUGAAAUGGAGUCUAGCCCAGGAAGAAAAAGAAAUUAGUUUGAUGAACAGCCAGCAGUCUCUGCCACAGUUGGUUUCUGAAAUAACCAUGCUAAGUCUAUAGCUGUAAUUAAUGAAUAUUCUAAAUGAUUAAUAGAGCAAUUUCCAAAAGAACAUAGUUUAAAUCCAGGUAUAAGUAGCAGAAGAGUAAGUUACAAUAGUUAUCGAUACUGUCUUUUCUCUUUUUUACAGCUAUCUUUCUUAAGGUAUAGGUCUGUAUUAGUAACAUGAGAAUACCUGAAGAACAAGUAUGUCACUAAUCUGUUGCCAUGUGCAAAGGGGAUACUUAAAGCUCUCUGGAAACCUCCCUCUUGUUUUAUAUUGGCAGACUUGUUUUCCUGCUGUGUUACUAGAGUGUGAAUGAAAAAUUUUUCAUUCAUAUUGUCAUGUUCUCUCUUAGAUGGCUAAGUCUGUUAGCAACUUAAGCAAUCUCUGGACAUUAUAUUUAGUAUUUCAGAACACUUGGGUCACAGAAAGUUACCACAAUUAAAUAACUGCUCGUGGAGAAUUGACCUAGAAUUCAUGUUCUGAUUCCAAAGCAACAAGCAUACACAUUAUUAUUCGGACUGCGGGUGAAUAGAGGUAUGCAAUAAUACUAAUACCUACAUAUUUUAAUCCCAGAGCCUCAUUUUAGGAUAUAAUUUUAACUUCCUGAGGUGGUGUGCAUUUCCUGUUUCAGAACCUGCUCUGUGAGGACUCAACUUCUUAAUACAACUGCUAGCAGUGAAAUAAUGACAGUAAAUUUCCAACCCUCACCUAGGUAAUUACCUCAACUCCUUCCUCAGUUAUCUCAUGUAAAUACAGUUCUGUUCCAGAAAGUUUCCCCAUCAAUUUUAAAACACAACUUCUUCUACUAGUGAAGAAGUAAUAAAGUACUAAAAUACUUUCCGAGUCAACUGGAAAGCUUCAGAUCUACACCUGACUUUUUUUUAACCCACUACAAAGUCCUUCAACUGUUGAAUUUGUAAUAUUUCAUUAAAUAAUACUAGUUUGCUUUUUAUAGUAAGAGGAAAUUCAGUAUCAGAAUUUUUCUAUCGACCUUUAGUUCCUAGAUAGAACUAUGGCCACUUUCAGCUGCAAACACUAUCUCAAUCAGAAAUUAGAUUUUAAACAAAACACUGAAUUUGAUUUAGAAUUCAAGCCUUCUUUAGGCUGAAAGCCUGUAUGGGGAAAACAGGCAAACUCAGCUUCUCUAUUUCUCCAUCUCGUUUUCCUCUUACCCCCCACAAGUCAGUCUCUGGAUGAAGGACAAAACAAUUCUUAUCUAGCUGGUAAUGUUGUUAUCCAGUUUUGCACUCUCUUGGCCUGACACACAGAACCCCCCAUAGGAUUUACAGGACCCAGUGCAAAACGGAAAUGCUGGGUCCCUUGUUGCAAAAUAAUUAAGAAUUUCAAGACAGCAAAGCAGAGGAUUAAACAAAGUACAGGUCUCUGUGCACAGGUCUGCACAGGUCACUGGCCCAUGAAGCUACUGAUAUGUGUUUAAGGUCGGCUCUCCAGGGUCUCUUUGGAGAGCUGCUUCUGGGCUUCUCUAAUUGCAACCACUACAAUGUGGGUAAUGCACCUUUCCUUUUAGCUGUCCACUCCUAAUCACCCCUCAGCUCCUGUUUCCUCAGCCCUGUUGUAUCCUCCCUACUGGAGUCCUUUCACCCUCUGGCAGAAGGUCUCCUAGGCAGGACUCAAGAUGGCUCCAGCCAGCUCCUUCUCUCCCAUGGGACUUCACCUGGUCCUUGGGAAAUACUCACACAUCCUUUGCCCUGUAGGCCAUUCUCUCCCUCUUGAUUCUGCCACAGAAACAGUUGGGCAACCUGCUUCCCAGUUUCUACAGAAUCCCUUCAUUGCAGGGAACAAACACAUCCCAAGCUCUCACAAGAUCCCACAGAAGCCCAUGGAAGCCCCCUGGCAUGAGCUGAAGAAGCAUCCUCCAUGCCCUCCCCACUGGAGUUGCUCUUCCUUGCCAUCUAGAGAACUAGAAGAUCAUUGCCUCAGGAAAGAGAUGGCAGAGCAGAUUGAUGAGGAAAGGCUUCCUUUCCUGGCUUUUUAGUUUCAGAAGUCUAGCCCUCAGGGCAAAAUGGAAAUAACUCUAGGGCUUAAAACAGCAGACUUGGGAGAAUAUGUGGUGCCAAGAGCAAGGCCUCGCUCACUCGCUCACUCGAUACCACCACCACCACUGGAAAGCUCCUCAGGCUAGCAGGAGGAAGAGGAUAUGGGAGUAGAUGGCUGGGUUUCUGGGGAAGGGCCAGCUUUACCCCCUGCCCUAUGGGGCCAGCCCGAGUGAGAAAAUGAGUAAAUAACCUGGUAACCUUCAAGAUUCCAGAAAAAGAGAAAAGUUGUGUUUCGUUCCUUGUGAGAGCAUGGAUGGAUGGAAGGACAAGAGGUUGACUCUUUCCUGUGGUUAAUGUAGGCAUUCAGCCCCCACAGAACUUCCUGGGACCCAGCAUGACUUGGACAGCAACACAACAAUUCCUGUGUGACCAGGAUUUCUGAGAUUUAGGCAGACAUCUGAGAUCCCCGCGCUCAACUGUGCUGCAGGAUUAGCACUGCAGUUCUAGCACAUCAGCAGAUGACACUGAAGGGACUGAGGGACAGCUCAGCAGCAAAGGGCAAUUGAGAUGACCGACAUCUCAGAGGAUGCCAGUGUGUACAACCAAGACUAAUAGCCCUUUCCCUUCUCGUGAACUGUUACCACGUAAGCCAUUCUCCCCACUGCCUUUGCUCCAGAACCUCAUCACAACCCCAGGCAGAAAGGAAGUUUCUAACCACCCAGCCAAAUGGAGACUCAAUAUUGAAACACUUGAAUUCAGUUCAGUUCUAGAAACACUUGAAUUUGGGAAAUUAAAUUCAUGCCCACCAUAUCUAUUCUAUGAUAUUCAAUUCUUAACCAUCAUUAAAUAGGAAUUGCCAUUCCCACAUUACAAGUGAAGAAAUAGAUUCAGAGAGAUUAAGGAAUUUUUUUAGGCAGGCAAGGGACAAAGCCGGCGCUCACACCAAGGUCUGUUUUACACCAAAGCCAGUGUUCUUUCUACCAGACCAUUUUCAAAAAGUUUGACAGAGGAGAAGAAUAAUAACCAGAAGGGGAUCCAGGGUGAUGAGACUUUUUUUUUUUUUUUAAGAAUGACAGAAAUUAGACAAUAUAAAUGGGGAAAGGAAAAAGAGCUAGUUGAGGGAAAGACAUAGAAAAUGAAGGAAAAGGGAUUAUUUAUCAAGGAAUGAUUCUAAAGGAUAUGGGAGAUGAAUAAAGAUAAAGGGAUAAACCUUGAAUGCAAGGUAGGUACUUCUCCAAGGUAAGAGUGAACGUGGAAAGGAUUUACAUAGAUAGAAAGAGUUUUGUAGACAAGUGUGAAAAUUUUGACGGCAUCAGUGCUUCAUGACAUGAAGGAGGAAGGGCCAAGUGCAAUACCUGUAGGAUGCAUGUAGGAUGCAAACUGAAUCAUAACUUGCAUUUUAGUGCCUUGAACAGAAGGUGGUAUAUGUCAUGCAUUUGAUUGAGUUUCUUCAACACUGUAGUGGCAUUAUGCCCAGAUCUGCAACCCGUCCUUUGAGGACUGAAGCAGACAUUUCUCCAGCUGCUCAGAAUGUUGGUCAUUGACACUUCUUAAUUCCCCUUCCCAGGAAUUGUCCUCUACUGAGAGAGCAGGUUUACCCCAGAUUACAUCCCCUACCCAAUGACUGUUCCAUCUGGGAUGUAAGGUCUAGCCCCUUGCCUCAGUUCAGGAAGCCUAUAGGACCAUCCAUAUCCUCAGACUUCUCUACUGCUCCCCCAUCACAACACACACACACACACACAUACACACACA
Long non-coding RNA from Orcinus orca (killer whale), 5369 nucleotides. RefSeq lists it as uncharacterized. Lineage: Eukaryota; Metazoa; Chordata; Mammalia; Artiodactyla; Delphinidae. The record is from RefSeq and is a predicted model, not a curated record. The transcript has 3 exons.